CUUUUUAUAGGUUAAUUGCUCAGAUUCACGAUGAGCUUCUUUUUGAAGUCAAAGAUGACCAAGUAGAGGAAUUUGCAGGCAUUAUAAAACAUAUGAUGGAAUCACUCCAGCAUAUUGAUAGUUUUGGAAUACAUCUAAAGGUCCCUUUAAAGGUGAAGAUCUCCACUGGAAAGUCAUGGGGAUCUAUGACUGAGCAUCUGAAAGUAAAGAGCAACAUCCAUUAGCUCCACAGAGUAACAUAAAGCACUUCAUUCUUAGGCUUUUUUUGUGUGUUCUUCUCACAAUUGCUAGGCAACCACUCAGUUGGAGCUUUCAGCAGCUCUUAAUUUCCUGCAAAUUUCUCAGUUACUCUCUGUCUGUAGCCUGGGGCAACAAGGGAAGAAUAUGUCUAGUUUUUUUCUGCCCUUUUUUUCUCUGUUCUUUUUAGAUGGUGCUUCUCUUGUGUAAGCUCCUUCUCCUGGCCGAGUCUAUUUCAGAUCAAAACUAUAACAUGGGUCCCAAACAUUGUGCACUUGUCUUUUUCAUGUUGGGGACAAUACAAUUCUUGUAUGACUGUUUCUUACAAACACAUUUUUUAAGCUUUAAGGCUAUUGUUCUUUAGUCAAUUGCUGUUCAGGUAAAUUCCUAUUUGUAUUAGACUUAUUUGAGUUCAGUUGUUCACAUUAAAGCCACAACUACGUUUUGUUCACUGUUGUAAAUGCCUUGUUGUUGGCAUUGUAUUUUGCAACCCCCCAAGGUUGUUUCACAUACAGAAUUGAGCUCAAAAACAACAUUUUGUUUUUGCCACUUUUUAUUUAAAACUCUGUUAACACUUUCUCAAUUAACUGAGGUUUACAUAACUAAAAAUUAAUAUUUCAAUUGACAUAAUGAGUAAUAUUCUUAAUUAUGUUUGCAUUGGUCUUAUUUUGCCGGUUCACUGUAUUUCUCCAAUAACUUACAAUAAAGGCAGUGUUGUUAAAGUAUGGUUGAGUGAUUCACUUUAUUAAGAGUGUUUGCACAAACUGCAGCACCAACAUCGCUGUUGUAAUUUUUUUUCAUUUACCAUUUUUAAAACCCAAUCCCGUCAAUACAGUUUGAGCUGUCAUUUCCAGGAUUCCAAGUUAGAUAAAGCUAGUGAUAAGGUAACCAAAAAGGUAUAAACUUUUUAUGUAGUUGUCUGUUUUGCUUCCUUUACCCUUUGGAUGUGUCCAUUAAUCCUGCUUAGCUCAUUAGCAAAUACGGAAUUUCCAUGA
Long non-coding RNA from Erpetoichthys calabaricus (reedfish), 1232 nucleotides. RefSeq lists it as uncharacterized. The transcript has 3 exons. The record is from RefSeq and is a predicted model, not a curated record. NCBI's taxonomy places the organism in Eukaryota, Metazoa, Chordata, Cladistia, Polypteriformes, Polypteridae.